This 83-nucleotide ribozyme is filed under the name unclassified sequences. Its description in RNAcentral is "Twister_sister_ribozyme". It matches the Rfam family "Twister_sister_ribozyme". The record is from Rfam by way of RNAcentral.
AAGAUUCGCAAGGCCAUCCAUAAGGAUAUCGGUGCAAGCCCGAUGGGAGAGCGGCGACCUCUCCUGGCGCUCAUGGAUCCAUA